RNAcentral lists this ribosomal RNA (322 nucleotides) under uncultured bacterium. RNAcentral describes it as "bacterial SSU rRNA". It matches the Rfam family "Bacterial small subunit ribosomal RNA", at positions 83 to 422 of the family's 1533-position model. The record is from RNAcentral.
UAGCAAUACGGAGCGGCAGACGGGUGAGUAACGCGUGGGAACAUACCCUCCGGUUCGGAAUAACUCAGGGAAACUUGAGCUAAUACCGGAUACGGCUUAGCGGCGAAAGAUUUAUCGCCGGAGGAUUGGCCCGCGUCCGAUUAGCUAGUUGGUGAGGUAACGGCUCACCAAGGCGACGAUCGGUAGCUGGUCUGAGAGGAUGAUCAGCCACAUUGGGACUGAGACACGGCCCAAACUCCUACGGGAGGCAGCAGUGGGGAAUAUUGGACAAUGGGCGCAAGCCUGAUCCAGCCAUGCCGCGUGAGUGAUGACGGCCUUAGGG